Molecule: ribosomal RNA, 465 nt
Filed under: Vreelandella stevensii
Lineage: Bacteria; Pseudomonadati; Pseudomonadota; Gammaproteobacteria; Oceanospirillales; Halomonadaceae
Description: partial 16S ribosomal RNA
Rfam family: Bacterial small subunit ribosomal RNA
Source: RNAcentral
CCUACGGGUGGCAGCAGUGGGGAAUAUUGGACAAUGGGCGAAAGCCUGAUCCAGCCAUGCCGCGUGUGUGAAGAAGGCCUUCGGGUUGUAAAGCACUUUCAGUGGGGAAGAAAGCCUUGGGGCUAAUACCCUCGAGGAAGGACAUCACCCACAGAAGAAGCACCGGCUAACUCCGUGCCAGCAGCCGCGGUAAUACGGAGGGUGCGAGCGUUAAUCGGAAUUACUGGGCGUAAAGCGCGCGUAGGCGGUCUGAUAAGCCGGUUGUGAAAGCCCCGGGCUCAACCUGGGAACGGCAUCCGGAACUGUCAGGCUAGAGUGUAGGAGAGGAAGGUAGAAUUCCCGGUGUAGCGGUGAAAUGCGUAGAGAUCGGGAGGAAUACCAGUGGCGAAGGCGGCCUUCUGGACUGACACUGACGCUGAGGUGCGAAAGCGUGGGUAGCAAACAGGAUUAGAUACCCGAGUAGUC